ACCUGCGGAAGGAUCAUUGUUGAGAUUUGAGGAUAAUGACAAGAGAAUUUGUUUUCAUAUUUAGACCGUUCAAUAGAUGUGCGCAAUAUAGGAGAGUAUUUCCUUUAUUGGCAUGUUUGUUGGAUGGACAGCCAUGCCCCUUCUUAUUCAUAGUUGCGGGUUUGGCAUAUGAUUUUGGGCACGGCAUGUGUCAAGGAAUUGCUCAUUGCAAUCGUGGCUUCGGCAGCGGUUUGUAAUGUGCUCGAAAUCCAUGCAUGCUUGUCAUGCUAUGGUAAUGACUUAUCAUCAAAUCAAUAGAUAUGACUCUUGACAACGGAUAUCUAGGCUCUUGCAUCGAUGAAGAACGUAGCGAAAUGCGAUAUUUGGUGUGAAUUGCAGAAUCCCGUGAACCAUCGAGUCUUUGAACGCAAGUUGCGCCUAAGGCUUUGGUUGAGGGCACGCUUGCUUGGGUGUCACACCUUUUGAUGCUCCUUCAAAUCCAUUUUGUGGGUUAGAUGGAAGCUUGAUUGGCUCACCGUUCUUUUAUAGUUGCGGUUAGCUUAAGUAUGAGAUGUCCAUGGAGAACCAUGACACGACAACUGGUGUGCAGAAGAAUUUUUCUGAUGUGGCUAAUGUUGUUUCACUCUAUGACACAAGCUCGCACCAAGUGUGUUUAAGGGGCCCUUGAACGGUGGAGUUGGACAUCAGCAAAUUUUGUGGAUGUUAGAAAUGUUCUCCCUUGUUGCUACCCCAGGUCAAGCGGGACUACCCGCUGAGUUUAAGCAUAUCAAUA
This 772-nucleotide ribosomal RNA is filed under the name Burmannia hexaptera. RNAcentral's name for it is "eukaryotic LSU rRNA". The stretch from base 302 to 455 matches the Rfam family "5.8S ribosomal RNA". The record is from RNAcentral. Lineage: Eukaryota; Viridiplantae; Streptophyta; Magnoliopsida; Dioscoreales; Burmanniaceae.